AGUGAACGCUGGCGGUAGGCCUAACACAUGCAAGUCGAACGGCAGCACAGUAAGAGCUUGCUCUUACGGGUGGCGAGUGGCGGACGGGUGAGGAAUACAUCGGAAUCUACUUUUUCGGGGGGGAUAACGUAGGGAAACUUACGCUAAUACCGCAUACGCCCUACGGGUGAAAGCAGGGGAACUUCGGACCUUGCGGGAUUGAAUGAGCCGAUGUCGGAUUAGCUAGUUGGGGGGGUAAAGGCCCACCAAGGCGAGGAUCCGUGGCUGGGCUGGGGGGAGGGUCAGCCACACUGGAACUGAGACACGGUCCAGAGUCCUACGGGAGGCAGCAGUGGGCAAUAUUGGACAAUGGUCGCAAGCCUUAUCCAGCCAUACCGCGUGGGUGAAGAAGGCCUUCGGGUUGUAAAGCCCUUUUGUUGGGAAAGAAAAGCAGCAGGUUAAUACCCCGCUGUUCUGACGGUACCCAAAGAAUAAGCACCGGCUAACUUCGUG
This 492-nucleotide ribosomal RNA is filed under the name uncultured bacterium. RNAcentral describes it as "partial 16S ribosomal RNA". It matches the Rfam family "Bacterial small subunit ribosomal RNA", at positions 29 to 507 of the family's 1533-position model. The record is from RNAcentral.